GAGUUCCUCGAGGAUCCAUGGCGACCCAUCAAGUUCGCCUCUACUCCUCCAGCAACGCAAGCCAGCCUAGCUACCACCUCUACUGCUGCAGUUUCGUAUUCUUAUACGUAUUUUGUUUCUCUGCAGUGUUUCUUCUUUUCUGUACAGCGGGUGAACUGAUAUGAGGUCUCCUCUUGGUCUGUGCAGUAGUGGAUCGCACGCACGUUUCAACUUAAACGUACAAUAUGUUUUCGGCCCUAGAUGUGCGCGUGGUGCGUAGGUCGAUGGACGAGCGCGACGACGGCUCACGGCGGGCAUGACGACUGGUGGGGCGCGGCGGGCAUGCGUCUCCGGAGUUCAAGGUGUGCUGCGGUGGAGGGCCUGGUCGUCUGUUCUACUACGUCGUUCGAGUGGCUCCGAUUAGGAUAUGCCCAUUUGUGGUUCUCUGAUCUGGGUGCUGCUCCAUGCGGUGCGUUAGUUGUUCUGGUGGUGGUGGUUGCGAUGGUGCUGCGGUGGUGGAUGGCGGCUUCGGCUGGGGUGGUGGUGUAUGUCUGGCCGCGAUGGAUCGUGGGAUCCUGCGGCCAUAAUGAGGUCGGCCUCAACAGUUGGUGAUUGGUGGGCAGUUGUCAGUGGCGAUAGGUGUUUGGCGCAACUCCGGGAGAAAUCUUUGCUCUGAUCUCCAUCGGAUUAGGUUCAAAAGGAAUUGUGAGUGAUAAAAUACCCUGAAUCCGGUCCAAAUUAUGCCAAAAUGAAAUUACCCGAUCUGAAACCCCUAAACCUAUUCUAUAUAUAAAACAAAGAGAGUACAACGGAAGGGCAUUACCUCCCCGGCAAAGUUGAGCAUGUCGUUGCCACUGCUCUCCUUCAAGUCUGUCCAAGAAGACACUGCGGCAACAACGGCGAGGCUAGGCGGCGGCGGAGACAGCGCAGAGGGGAGCGAGGCAGAGGAGAGCGAGGCAGAGGGGAGCGAUAAUAACCGUGUGAGCGAGAGGAGAGGAUGGGAACGCCACUCUUUCCCCUUAUGGAACGGGCCGACCGGCUCGGUGCCUAUGACCGUUAGCGGCCGUUAGCACGGUGUCGUCAUAGCCGUCGGGCAAACAGGCGGUUGGCCACGUCAAAACGAGAUCAAAUUUGGGUUCAGUGUUUUUUGCCAUGAUGAUUCUCAACAACAUAUAUGCAUCUCAAUUCCAGCAAGUUCGAGUGGUUAACGAGAUUUCACACAUGCAUGCUCUCUCUCAUAUAUUCACAAACAAUAACAAGGACCAUACCAUGAGAAUCCUCGAAAGGCUGGGUAUGAAGGACUGUUUCGAUGGGAUCAUCUGCUUCGAGACUCAAAACAAGUCGUGCAAGUCACGGCCAUGGGACAAGGUCGUCACCUCUCAGAUCUUUGAUAUCACCAGACACUUGGCCCGUUC
This 1394-nucleotide long non-coding RNA is filed under the name Hordeum vulgare. Its description in RNAcentral is "long non-coding RNA (HVUL_LNC021216)". Lineage: Eukaryota; Viridiplantae; Streptophyta; Magnoliopsida; Poales; Poaceae. The record is from RNAcentral.